This 352-nucleotide unclassified non-coding RNA is filed under the name soil metagenome. RNAcentral's name for it is "partial contains 5.8S ribosomal RNA, internal transcribed spacer 2, and large subunit ribosomal RNA". The stretch from base 1 to 120 matches the Rfam family "5.8S ribosomal RNA", at positions 35 to 154 of the family's 154-position model. The record is from RNAcentral.
GAUGAAGAACGUAGCGAAAUGCGAUAAGUAAUGUGAAUUGCAGAAUUCAGUGAAUCAUGGAAUCUUUGAACGCACAUUGCGCCCGCCAGUAUUCUGGCGGGCAUGCCUGUUCGAGCGUCAUUUCAACCCUCAGGCCCCCAGUGCCUGGUGUUGGGGAUCGGCCCAGCCUUCCUGUAAGGCCGCCGGCCCCGAAAUCUAGUGGCGGUCUCGCUGUAGUCCUCCUCUGCGUAGUAGCACAACCUCGCAGUUGGAACGCGGCGGUGGCCAUGCCGUUAAACACCCCACUUCUGAAAGUUGACCUCGGAUCAGGUAGGAAUACCCGCUGAACUUAAGCAUAUCAAUAAGCGGAGGA